Penaeus vannamei (Pacific white shrimp) is the source of this 298-nucleotide non-coding RNA. The record is from RefSeq and is a predicted model, not a curated record. Lineage: Eukaryota; Metazoa; Arthropoda; Malacostraca; Decapoda; Penaeidae.
UCGAGCUUCAGCAGCAGCAGCAGCGGCUUCACCGGCACCGGAUCAGGCUUCAGCAGCAGCAACAGCGGAGCUCAAGGAAGCGGCGGUUCGGGCUUCAGCAGCGGCAACAGUGGCUUCACUACCGGUGGAUUCGGGUCCGGUGGAGGUGGAGGAGGAGCAGGUGGAGGAGGCGGAGGAAGUGGAGGCGUUUGCUGUGGGAAAUGGUAGACGACAUGGUAGACGACAGGCCUACGACGAAGCUGAACUGGUUGCUAGUGUUGCAUGAUCAUCUGGACUCAAUAAAGUUCAUCAAUCUGAA